GACAUCGAGUCCUGUCUGAGAGCACAGAGAGGAUGAGGAAGACCAUGAUGAAGACCCUGAACACGAGCGGGAGAACAUGUGCUGCUGUGUCUGCUCCAAACAUCUGUGUCUGUUCUCCGUGAGCACCACGACCUGGAAAACAUUUACACAUAUGAAGUGGACUGGUCAGCAGAAGGUUUCUGGAUCAAUCUCCAGCGGUGUGUCUUUACUCCCGAUGCUCUCUCUGCUCUGGAGUCACUGAGGAUGAAGAGACCACAGCAGCAUCCGGCUCAGAUGAAGCAGUAAGAGCUGGAGAGA
Molecule: long non-coding RNA, 297 nt
Organism: Carassius auratus (goldfish)
Lineage: Eukaryota; Metazoa; Chordata; Actinopteri; Cypriniformes; Cyprinidae
Exons: 3
Source: RefSeq, a predicted model, not a curated record